UCUCCCGCGCGCGUAGCCAAACGGCCGAUAGAUGUGUGACCCUGUGUUCUCUGGCUCUGGCCUGUCUCAUCUUUCGUUUGCACCCAUUCUCUAAUGCCCUAGCAUCGAUUCGGGCCCACGUCCGGCCACAACGAAGAGGACGAAAAGGAGAAAGAAGGGGGAAGAAUACGAAGGGCGAGCACUACUGACCGUUGUGUGU
Caenorhabditis elegans is the source of this 199-nucleotide non-coding RNA. NCBI's taxonomy places the organism in Eukaryota, Metazoa, Nematoda, Chromadorea, Rhabditida, Rhabditidae. The record is from Ensembl.